RNAcentral lists this transfer RNA (77 nucleotides) under Columbid alphaherpesvirus 1. RNAcentral describes it as "Columbid herpesvirus 1 tRNA". It matches the Rfam family "tRNA". Rfam says of the family: Transfer RNA (tRNA) molecules are approximately 80 nucleotides in length. Their secondary structure includes four short double-helical elements and three loops (D, anti-codon, and T loops). Further hydrogen bonds mediate the characteristic L-shaped molecular structure. tRNAs have two regions of fundamental functional importance: the anti-codon, which is responsible for specific mRNA codon recognition, and the 3' end, to which the tRNAs corresponding amino acid is attached (by aminoacyl-tRNA synthetases). tRNAs cope with the degeneracy of the genetic code in two manners: having more than one tRNA (with a specific anti-codon) for a particular amino acid; and 'wobble' base-pairing, i.e. permitting non-standard base-pairing at the 3rd anti-codon position. The record is from Rfam by way of RNAcentral. Lineage: Duplodnaviria; Heunggongvirae; Peploviricota; Herviviricetes; Herpesvirales; Orthoherpesviridae.
UCCCCGUUAGUUUAGUGGUAUAACACCCAUCUCACCUUGGUAGACGGGAGACCGGGGUUCGAUUCCCCGACGGGGAC